GCCCACCUCCUGCCUGGUCGGGGUCAGCAGCUCGAUUAUGGCAGCGCUGCCGCACCACUGGCCACUGUCCUGCCCUCAGCGGAGAGCCGAGUGGUGGAGGACACAGAGUGGGUGCCGGACUGCCCUGCAGCUCACCAGGGAGAGGAAGCAAGAGCCGGGUGCCCGGCCACACUCCCUCUAGGCUGUUCCCCUCAAAAAGUCUGCAGCCUCGAUUUUACUUGUAUUUUUCUCUUUCCCCCGCGAGCAGUCUGCAAGUCGCACAUUCAUCCAAGCAGAGCUCUCCCGGGGUCACGCCGCGGCCCAGCUAAGGCCGGAAGGGACCCCGCACGUUUCCGGUCCCUGUCCUUGGCCAGGAUGGUAUCAUAUCCUGCCAUCACAAGGGAGAGAAGGACGAGACGACUCAACGCCCCACCUGAGGCCCCAGCGUCCGGCAGCAGUCCCAGCUCCUGCCCUCCUCGGAAUCAGACUUUUCCUCCCAACACUUCACUUCAUUCAGAAGAGAUCCACUUUCUAAAUGCCUUGGUGAUAGCUCGGUGCUGGUGAUGGCGAGGUGCAGCCUGGCCUGGCAGGGAAGCAGACCUGCCCUUGGUGCUUUAGUGCAGGGACACACGUCUGCAACGGCAGGGACUCAUCGCAGGAGUUGGUGACAGGGAGUGAGGAAGACUGGGGAAGGCUUCCUCCACCUCCUCCACCCAGAACCUCAACGCACAGCCCUCGGGUCCCCCAAAUGUCCCUGUCUUCUCCCACAUGCCUGCCCCUGCCGUACCUAGGGCACAUUCCUUAUCACAUUUUAUUAUUUUUUAUCUAUCUUCUGUCUCAUCUCAUCCAAUUGGAAUAUAAAUUCCACAAGAUCGGUAUUUUAUUUGACUUUGCAUAUCCAGAACCCCAACACGUGGGCCCUUCCUAAUCAACAUAAGCUCUCAUUUUCCUGAUGGAUGCUGAGAGAAUGUUCACUGCAUCCUGGAGUUCAUAGAAGUAGAACCUGCUUGAAGAAAAAGCCAAUAAACUAGACCAGAGAUUGUUCAAAGCAAUCUGUGCAGGGAGAAAAUCAAUUUUGUUCAUCAUUUCCUGACUUCCUCUGUCCUUAGUCUCUGAAGCACUUGCUUUCAAAAUGUACAGCCGAUUUAAAAAAAAGAAAAAAAAAGGUAGCAGGCACAAAAUAUGCCCCAGAAUGUCGCA
Molecule: long non-coding RNA, 1179 nt
Filed under: Fukomys damarensis (Damara mole-rat)
Lineage: Eukaryota; Metazoa; Chordata; Mammalia; Rodentia; Bathyergidae
Description: lncRNA (ENSFDAG00000026551.1)
Source: RNAcentral